Pan troglodytes (chimpanzee) is the source of this 4226-nucleotide long non-coding RNA. RefSeq lists it as uncharacterized. The record is from RefSeq and is a predicted model, not a curated record. NCBI's taxonomy places the organism in Eukaryota, Metazoa, Chordata, Mammalia, Primates, Hominidae. The transcript has 4 exons.
GAGUCGGCUUUUUCGCCCUGACCGCGCUCCUGAUGCCUCCCGGCCGCCGUAGGCGAAGGUUCGCGGAAGAGGGGAGCAGACGCUCGCCUGAGGUUCGCCCAGUCCUGGAGCGCUGACUCAGAAAUUGGAAUGAGUUGUCUGUGGAUCCUGUAAGGAGCCUGGACGUGGUGAAGAGAAUGCCUUGACCAUCAGGAGACGGCUUAGCUUGUUGAAUCUUGAUCACUUCUUCUGACCGCUUUGGAUCUUAAAAGAACAAGGGAUGAUGGUGACUUCUGGUGACAACCAAGAACAGGCUUCAGAAAGAAAGCAGCUGUGUAGCUAUGGCCAAACUGAACUUCUUGAGUCAGUGUCCUCGCUUGUAAAAUGGACAAUUCUACUGAAGGAAAUUGAAGGUCUUACCGACUCCAUCCAAGGAAUUGACAAGAGAUCCGCAAGAAGGUUGCAUAGAGUGAGUGAGAACACUGUCUUGAACUGCUGGGACAUCUGCCUAAGAAUGAAACCCAAGAACAGAGGAAAGCAGACCUAGGAGAAGGAGGGAAAGACAACGUCCCAAUAAUAGCAUUCAAGCUUCUGGAUCCAACCAUGUCUGCUGCCGGACAUUAGUCCUGGUACUUCUUGUUACAUGAUCCAGUGAAUGGCUCCUCGUGCCCUCCUCUCCCCAUAUGUUUCCUCCUUUUUUUGCUUAAGGUAGUUUGAGGUAGAUUUCCAUUGUCUGCAAGUACAGAAAGAUUUCUGGAGUAGAUAGCACCUCAGCUGCAUCUUGAAGGAUGAAUAGGAAAUUCUCAGGAGAAACAGGGAUGGAACUGAGGUGAGUAAGACUUUUUGGGCAGAAGGAACAUAUAAACAGCUUAGGGAGAAAUAUUCUAAGUGAAAUAUUUAUAUAAAAUAACUAUACGAUGGGCAUUUCCAUGGGCUCAGGCUUCUCACUUAGAAAAAUACUCUUGGCUCUCUAUAGCUGUGAGUUCCACGUCUGUGGAUUCAAACAACUGAGGAUUGAAAUAUUGGGGGAAAAAGGAUGGUUGUGUAUGUACUGAAUAUUUGUGGAUUUUUUGUCCUUGUCAUUGUCCCCAAACAAUACAGUAUAGCAACUGUUUACAUAGCAUUGACACUGCAUUGGGUAUAAGUAAUCUAGAGAUGAUUUAAAGUAUGCAGGAGGAUGUGCACAGGUUAUAUGCAAAUCUAUGUUUUUUAAAUUAUACUUUAAGUUCUGGGGUACAUGUGCAGAACGUUCAGGUUUGUUACAUAGGUAUACACGUGCUAUGGUGGUUUGCUGCACCCAUCAACCCGUCAUCUACCUUGGUAUUUCUCCUAAUGCUCUCUGUCCCCUAGCUCCCCACCCCCCGACAGGCCCCGGUGUGUGAUGUCCCCCUCCCUGUGUCUAUGUGUUCUCUUUGUUCAACUCCCACUUAUGAGUGAGAACAUGCAGUGUUUGGUUUUCUGUUCUUGUGUUAGUUUGCUGAGAGUGAUGGUUUCCAGCUCCAUCCAUCUCCCUGUAAAGGACAUGAACUCAUCCUUUUUUAUGGCUGCAUAAUACUAUGCUAUUUUAUAUCAGGGACUUGAGCAGCUGUGGAGUCUGGUAUCCAUGGCAGGGUCCUGGAACCAAUCCCCAGUGGAUACUGAGGGAUGACUGUACAGCUAUAGAGUGGCCAACAUUCAUUUGUAAACAGUACCCAUGAGCCUGUGUCUUUCUGAGUGAAAUCUGUGAGCAAUAAUGAAUUGGGAAAAUACUAGCUUGUUAUGUAGAUUCAGUUGCUUUCUGCUUUUAUGAAGUUCUAAGUGUAGUAGUCACAGGAUCAGCGACAGAAAUGCUACCUUUAAGAAGAAUUUCAAUGUAAUCUAUUGGGGCAUGCUCACAGAAGUUAGGAAAUCAAUCAUGUUUACUUUGUGUUCUUAUUUGUUUAGAAUGGCUGAUAAAUAAGCUUUUUCUGUGUAAUUGCUUAUGAAUAAUGGAACUAUUUUCAGUGGAUCCCUGCCAUUUUACAAAAAACAAACAAACAAAAAAACAAAAACAAAUACUAAUCAGUUUUUUUUUUUUUACCAAUACUUAUACUAAAUGUAAUGCACCUGAAAUUAAAAUGACUCAUUUACAUGGCUUGAUCAGUGAUGACUGAAGCCAUAAGCAAUUUGAAUACAUCACUCUCCUUCCUUCAAGUGAAUCCUUUUUUCCUCUUCUCUCCUACUGAGUAGAUUUACCCAUCCUUUAAUGCUCAUUUCCAAUUCUACUUGCUCCAAAUAGUUGCUUCUGAAUACUACAACAGAAUCAAGCCCCAGAACGUAUUCUCUUCUGAAAACAUGCUUAAGUUUACGAAACACCCUAAGUACUACCUGUUGGCUCGUUAUGAAAUUAAUUUGAAUUACAACUGAAGUUGGGUUCAAGGUCUACUUGGAUGUAGUGUGUGGGGCUUGGGGAGUUUAAUCCCCAUGUCUCAUGUUUUGAUUGCAGAUCAGAUUCUGUAUAUAACUCCCUAGGAAUCCCAUCAAUAUUCUUCAGCCCUUUAUGAAAGGUGUUUCCAGGCAUUGUAGUUUCUUGAGAUGUUAAUAAGUAAUAUGCAAAAAUGGCUUUUUGAUGAAAUACAAAUAUGUUUGAGGGAAAUUUUGCAUUCAGUGGGUCUCCAUAAUGCAGGACUUAUCAGAGCCUUUAAUAUACUUUUAUUUCUUUCCAAAAGGCAGAUAUGGUACAAAGCACUUCACAUAUUAUCUACUGGCCCAUUUCCCAUAGGAAUACUAAAUUCCUUGGUUUUCUAGGCAAAACUGUGUUUUUUUUUUCUGUCUUUGCUCACUAAGUGACUUCUAGAAAUAUCUUUCCAUUGCAGAUACCCAUUUCACUUGGGCGGCAGAGUAUCUCAGGCAUCUAAUUUUAUAAUAAGAAAUGAUUUUGACCCAAGAGACCAUGCAGGUCUGCUGUGACCUUCCAGUUCUUGCUCUUUCUUUAAGAUGUGUCAGCAAUUAACAUUGAAGGAAUUUAUUUCACUGAGUACUGUAUGUUACAACUUCAUCUACUAGAAAGGUCCUUUUUUCCUCCUCAAAUCUUAGUCCAAAAAGAGGCCAACUGUUUUUGCCUGCUGAAUACUUCCAGUCAUAUUUGAAUAUAAGAAUAGUUUUUAAAUAUAUAAUUCACCACGCCUACCCCUACGUCUAUGUAUGCUAAGAGUUGUGCUCAUUUUAAGGUGAUUUCAUGAAAAGUGAUUUCUGUCCCUGUAUUUCGAGAUGCCUGGAAAGACUGUUCAUAUCCUCUUUCAUCCUUAGAACUGGAAGCUCUGGGAGUCAUGAUGUAGUAAGGCUUUGAGCUUUGGAGCAAACCCAACUUGAAUUUGAAUACCCACUCUGUUUCUUACUAACCUUAUGGGUUUGGGAUAGUCUUUUACCUUUCUGAAUCUCAUUCUCUUCAUCUACAAGAUUAGUAUGUUAGUACUGGCAACAUAAAAAAAUGGAGAUGAAUCUCCAAGCAAAGGAUUUAUUUUGGAAUAAUAUAUGAGAAGUAGGAUUGCAAUUUGAGAAACAUAAACCAGAGCAGCCCCUAGAUGUGUCUGAAGAACAAAGGGAAAGGCUGGGGUUGUACUGGAGGAAAGGAAGAAGGUUAUGUAAAUUAUUUUGAAAGGAAAUUCAUUGGUGGCUUACAGGAGCUGGCAGGUUCUGACUGGUGAGCGGUAGCAGUUACUAGGUAAAAUUUGCAGUCAUAAAGUUGUAGCUGGCUGCUGUGGUUUUGGAUUGGGCUGGCGAGAUAAUUCCUGGAGUAGGUGUUUGUGACCUGAGUGUUUUUCCCUCUGGCUCCCAUACUCUAUUUUAGUUGGGUGUGACCAAAAUGACUCCAUUUUGCAUAAUCAGUUUUCACAGCACCCACCCACCUCAUCAUAAAGUUGUGGUCUUCCUAUGCGCUCAUCUUUGCAAGCUGAAAUACAAGAUGAUGGAUAUGGUUUGACUCGAUGUCCCCACCCAAAUCUCAGGUUGAAUUGUAAUCCCCACGUGUUGGGGGCGGGACCUGGUAAGAGGUAAUUGGACACAUGGGGGUGGUUUACCCCAUGCUCUUCUCAGGAGAAUGAGUGGGUUCUCACGAGAUCUGAUGGUUUAAAAGUGUGUGGCAGUUCCCCAUUCUCUCUCUGUCUCUCUCCUGCCACCAUGUAUGAUGUGCCUUGUUCUUCCUUUGCCUUCCACCAUGACUGUAAGUUUUCUGAGGCCUCCCCAGCCAUGUGGAACUGUGAGUCAAUUAAAGCUAUUUUUUAAAUAAA